This 468-nucleotide ribosomal RNA is filed under the name uncultured bacterium. RNAcentral describes it as "partial 16S ribosomal RNA". It matches the Rfam family "Bacterial small subunit ribosomal RNA", at positions 28 to 507 of the family's 1533-position model. The record is from RNAcentral.
GAUGAACGCUGGCGGCGUGCUUAAUACAUGCAAGUCGAACGGACAGGCCCUGCUCUUGUGGGGUGCUCGAGUGGCGAACGGGUGAGUAAAACGUGAGUAUACUGCACCUGUCUGUGGGAGAUCUUCAGGAAACUGGGGCUAAAACCCCGUAUGAGCUUCUGCACCGCAUUGUGCGUUGGUAAGUUUCGGCGGUGGUGGAUGGAAUAGCGGCUUAUCCGCUUGUUUGUGGGGUAGUUGCUUACCAGGGUUUUGACGGGUAGCCGGCCUGGGAGGGUUACCGGCCACCUGGCGCCUGCGAUACGGCCCAGACUCCUACGGGAGGCAGCGGUGGGGAAUAUUGCGCAAUGGGCGGACGCCUGAGGCAGAAGCGCCGCGUUCGGGAUGCCGGGUUUCGGGGUGUAAACCGAUUUCGACGGUGACGAAGCGUGAGUGACGGUAAUGAGUAAAGAAGCAACGGCUAACUACGUG